This 163-nucleotide non-coding RNA is filed under the name human gut metagenome. RNAcentral describes it as "Lysine riboswitch". It matches the Rfam family "Lysine riboswitch aptamer". Rfam says of the family: Riboswitches are metabolite binding domains within certain messenger RNAs that serve as precision sensors for their corresponding targets. Allosteric rearrangement of mRNA structure is mediated by ligand binding, and this results in modulation of gene expression. The record is from RNAcentral.
AUGUCAGAGGCGCGAAACCAAUCAGUACCGCAGAGGAGGCUCUCAAAAGCUCCCGAGGCUGCGGGAAAGGUGUUUUCGCCGAAGCGGAACCGUGUUUGGGCGCGGCUCUGCUGGGCGCACGGAGAACAUCCCUGCGACUGUCGCAAAAUUUGCGGAGUGCUGC